Molecule: unclassified non-coding RNA, 170 nt
Filed under: uncultured Trimmatostroma
Lineage: Eukaryota; Fungi; Ascomycota; Dothideomycetes; Mycosphaerellales; Mycosphaerellaceae
Description: sequence contains ITS2
Source: RNAcentral
UCCUCUCUCAAACCCCCGGGUUUGGUGUUGGACCGCGUUGGCCGGGUUCGGCCAACUGGUCUCAAAGACAAUGACGGCGUCCCAGGGACCCUCUUCGCACUGAGCUUUCCGGAGCACGCGUAAGAGUUUCAAGGGCCCAGGGACCCGGUCGCCUCUAAAAACUUUUUUCA